RNAcentral lists this ribosomal RNA (497 nucleotides) under uncultured bacterium. Its description in RNAcentral is "partial 16S ribosomal RNA". It matches the Rfam family "Bacterial small subunit ribosomal RNA", at positions 28 to 507 of the family's 1533-position model. The record is from RNAcentral.
GAUGAACGCUGGCGGCGUGCCUAAUACAUGCAAGUCGAGCGAACAGACGAGGAGCUUGCUCCUCUGACGUUAGCGGCGGACGGGUGAGUAACACGUGGAUAACCUACCUAUAAGACUGGGAUAACUUCGGGAAACCGGAGCUAAUACCGGAUAAUAUAUUGAGCCGCAUGGUUCAAUAGUGAAAGACGGUUUUGCUGUCACUUAUAGAUGGAUCCGCGCCGCAUUAGCUAGUUGGUAAGGUAACGGCUUACCAAGGCAACGAUGCGUAGCCGACCUGAGAGGGUGAUCGGCCACACGGGAACUGAGACACGGUCCAGACUCCUACGGGAGGCAGCAGUAGGGAAUCGUCCGCAAUGGGCGAAAGCCUGACGGAGCAACGCGGCGUGAGUGAUGAAGGUCUUCGGAUCGUAAAACUCUGUUAUUAGGGAAGAACAAAUGUGUAAGUAACUAUGCACGUCUUGACGGUACCUAAUCAGAAAGCCACGGCUAACUACGUG